ACGGCUAUAUCACGUUGAGGCAACGGUUCUCGUACAAUUAGCGGAGUUAAGCAACGUAGAGCCUGAUUAGUACCUAGAUGGGUGACCUCUUGUAAAUACCAGGUGCUGUAA
Molecule: non-coding RNA, 111 nt
Organism: Acanthosepion pharaonis
Lineage: Eukaryota; Metazoa; Mollusca; Cephalopoda; Sepiida; Sepiidae
Source: the annotation of a GenBank genome assembly